AACCUAGCACACCUGCGGUGUGUACCUGCGGAAGGAUCAUUACCGAGUUUACAAACUCCCAACCCUUUGUGAACCUUACCAUAUUGUUGCUUCGGCGGGACCGCCCCGGCGCCUUCGGGCCCGGAACCAGGCGCCCGCCGGAGGCCCCAAACUCUUAUGUCUUUAGUGGUUUUCUCCUCUGAGUGACACAUAAACAAAUAAAUAAAAACUUUUAGCAAUGGAUCUCAGAUCGGAAGAGCA
This 240-nucleotide unclassified non-coding RNA is filed under the name soil metagenome. RNAcentral describes it as "partial contains 5.8S ribosomal RNA, internal transcribed spacer 2, and large subunit ribosomal RNA". The record is from RNAcentral.